This 497-nucleotide ribosomal RNA is filed under the name uncultured bacterium. RNAcentral's name for it is "partial 16S ribosomal RNA". It matches the Rfam family "Bacterial small subunit ribosomal RNA", at positions 28 to 507 of the family's 1533-position model. The record is from RNAcentral.
GAUGAACGCUGGCGGCGUGCCUAAUACAUGCAAGUCGAGCGAACAGAUAAGGAGCUUGCUCCUUUGACGUUAGCGGCGGACGGGUGAGUAACACGUGGAUAACCUACCUAUAAGACUGGGAUAACUUCGGGAAACCGGAGCUAAUACCGGAUAACAUAUUGAACCGCAUGGUUCAAUAGUGAAAGGCGGCUUUGCUGUCACUUAUAGAUGGAUCCGCGCCGUAUUAGCUAGUUGGUAAGGUAACGGCUUACCAAGGCAACGGUACGUAGCCGACCUGAGAGGAUGAUCGGCCACACUGGAACUGAGACACGGUCCAGACUCCUACGGGAGGCAGCAGUAGGGAAUCUUCCGCAAUGGGCGAAAGCCUGACGGAGCAACGCCGCGUGAGUGAUGAAGGUCUUCGGAUCGUAAAACUCUGUUAUCAGGGAAGAACAAAUGUGUAAGUAACUGUGCACAUCUUGACGGUACCUGAUCAGAAAGCCACGGCUAACUACGUG